Dermacentor albipictus is the source of this 637-nucleotide long non-coding RNA. RefSeq lists it as uncharacterized. Lineage: Eukaryota; Metazoa; Arthropoda; Arachnida; Ixodida; Ixodidae. The record is from RefSeq and is a predicted model, not a curated record.
AUGUAAAAAGCCGUUCCUAUGAAUUUGACUUGUCCUUACUUCUAGGAACAAGAUAUCUGAAAACAGCUUGCCGUUUCCAAGCAUUGUCUUGGUUAGAUAUAGAUGCGUUGCUUUGCAGGGAGCACCAGCAAAUUUAGAAUGAGAACUAUGUAUAUCCUCUGCUUUCUGCUUGCAUUGAUGGCAUGUUCUUCAAUUCUACCUGCGAAAGGACAAGGAAGAGCAGAUAGAGCUCUUUGGUGGCCCUGGGGUGGUUUCGGACCGAAGCGGUGCCCUGCAGGCCAAGUUUACAAGGAAUGCCAAAGCAGCUCCUGCGGCGAGUGGAAAUGCUACCAUCUGUUUCAACGAGGUCCAAGAGCGUGUACUUCUGACUGCGCAAGCCGAUGCUUUUGUCGCUGGGGCCUUUUCAGAGAUGACAGCAACAGAUGCGUACCAAUAUGGGGUUGUCGGAGAGGUGCCGGUCGAGCAGAGUAGUUGGGAUAAGUGGGUGCUACAGAUGGAGGGGCUACGGAAAAAAAGCUGCCACUUGGCGGCUUGACGAGUCCGCAGACCCAUAUAUAAGGCAGCGUCUAGACAGCACCAGAUCACAAACAAGCGAUAAACAAAUCAAGACACUUGAUCAAAGCAAAUAAAUAAAAUA